GUUUGAUCCUGGCUCAGAUUGAACGCUGGCGGCAUGCCUUACACAUGCAAGUCGAACGGUAACGCGGGGCAACCUGGCGACGAGUGGCGAACGGGUGAGUAAAGCAUCGGAACGUGCCCAGUAGUGGGGGAUAGCCCGGCGAAAGCCGGAUUAAUACCGCAUACGACCUACGGGUGAAAGGGGGGGAUCGCAAGACCUCUCGCUAUUGGAGCGGCCGAUGUCAGAUUAGGUAGUUGGUGGGGUAAAGGCCUACCAAGCCGACGAUCUGUAGCUGGUCUGAGAGGACGACCAGCCACACUGGGACUGAGACACGGCCCAGACUCCUACGGGAGGCAGCAGUGGGGAAUUUUGGACAAUGGGCGCAAGCCUGAUCCAGCCAUGCCGCGUGCGGGAAGAAGGCCUCGGUU
This 407-nucleotide ribosomal RNA is filed under the name uncultured bacterium. RNAcentral describes it as "bacterial SSU rRNA". It matches the Rfam family "Bacterial small subunit ribosomal RNA", at positions 11 to 424 of the family's 1533-position model. The record is from RNAcentral.